This 71-nucleotide transfer RNA is filed under the name Marmota monax (woodchuck). It matches the Rfam family "tRNA". From Rfam's summary of the family: Transfer RNA (tRNA) molecules are approximately 80 nucleotides in length. Their secondary structure includes four short double-helical elements and three loops (D, anti-codon, and T loops). Lineage: Eukaryota; Metazoa; Chordata; Mammalia; Rodentia; Sciuridae. The record is from Rfam by way of RNAcentral.
UGAGGUGUAGCUCAGUGGUCGAGCACAUGGUUAGCAUGCAUGAGGCCCUGGAUUCAAUCCUAGCACCCCAA